GAUGAAGAACGUAGCGAAAUGCGAUAAGUAAUGUGAAUUGCAGAAUUCAGUGAAUCAUCGAGUCUUUGAACGCACAUUGCGCCCCCUGGUAUUCCGGGGGGCAUGCCUGUCCGAGCGUCAUUGCUGCCCUCAAGCACGGCUUGUGUGUUGGGCCCCCGUCCCCGGUUUCCCCCGGGGACGGGCCCGAAAGGCAGCGGCGGCACCGCGUCCGGUCCUCGAGCGUAUGGGGCUUUGUCACCCGCUCCGUAGGCCCGGCCGGCGCCAGCCGACACCCAACUUUAUUUCUAAGGUUGACCUCGGAUCAGGUAGGGAUACCCGCUGAACUUAAGCAUAUCAAUAAGCGGAGGA
This 348-nucleotide unclassified non-coding RNA is filed under the name soil metagenome. Its description in RNAcentral is "partial contains 5.8S ribosomal RNA, internal transcribed spacer 2, and large subunit ribosomal RNA". The stretch from base 1 to 120 matches the Rfam family "5.8S ribosomal RNA", at positions 35 to 154 of the family's 154-position model. The record is from RNAcentral.